RNAcentral lists this ribosomal RNA (828 nucleotides) under Triticum aestivum (bread wheat). RNAcentral's name for it is "partial small subunit ribosomal RNA". Lineage: Eukaryota; Viridiplantae; Streptophyta; Magnoliopsida; Poales; Poaceae. The record is from RNAcentral.
CAUACCAGAAAAGCCCCAACCAUGGUCAUUAAAUUGGACUUUAGCAAAGCCUUCGACUCCCUCUCUUGGGACUCUCUUGCUUCCAUCUUUCGCUGCCACGGCUUCCCGCCAAAAUUCUCAGCAUGGGUUCAUGACCUCCUAGCAACCGGGAAAACUGCCGUGAUGCUGAAUGGGAUCCCCAGAAACUGGAUAAAUUGCAAAAAUGGGCUCAGACGCGGUGGCCCUAUCUCGCCCUACCUCUUCAUCAUCGUUGCUGAUCUCCUACAACAAAUGAUCCAACAAGACCGCGACCUAGCUCAUAUCAGUCACCCCCUGUUCUCGCAUCUCUCGCCAAACGUUUUACAAUAUGCCGACGACACCAUCAUCAUCGCCAAGGCAUCCAAUGACGCUGCUCAGCAGUUAAAAAACAUCCUUCACGAUUUCGCCAUGGCCACUGGCCUCACUAUCAACUUCGCAAAAACAACUUUCGUGCCCAUGCACGUCAACACUGCCAUGAUAGACUCCAUUGCCUCCACCUUGCAAUGCCUAACCUCAACUUUUCCACAGAUCUACCUAGGCCUCCCCCUAACACCCACACGACUACCUACAAAUGCCUUCCUACCGAUCAUCGAACGCUGCCGUAAAUUCUUGACGGGUUGGUGCGCAAAAAUCCUCUCCAAAGGGGAUAGGCUCAUCCUAUUAUCAGCUGUCCUCGACUCCCUUCUAGUCUACUUCAUGUCAGUCUUCCCCAUCCCCAAAAAUGUUCUAAAAACCCUAGACUCUAUUCGACGAGCUUUUUUUUGGGCUGCGGAGGAAACUUGCACUGGUGCUCAAUGCUUAGUUGCCUGA